This 1298-nucleotide ribosomal RNA is filed under the name Apilactobacillus kunkeei. RNAcentral describes it as "bacterial SSU rRNA". It matches the Rfam family "Bacterial small subunit ribosomal RNA", at positions 54 to 1330 of the family's 1533-position model. Lineage: Bacteria; Bacillati; Bacillota; Bacilli; Lactobacillales; Lactobacillaceae. The record is from RNAcentral.
UCUCCAAAUUGAUUUUAUGCUUGCAUAAAUGAUUUUUGGAUUCGGAGCGAGUGGCGAACUGGUGAGUAACACGUGGGUAACCUGCCCCGAAGCGGGGGAUAACAUUUGGAAACAAGUGCUAAUACCGCAUAAUUAGUUGGAACCGCAUGGUUCCAACUUGAAAGAUGGCUCUGCUAUCACUUUGGGAUGGACCCGCGCCGUAUUAGUUAGUUGGUGAGAUAAAAGCCCACCAAGACGAUGAUACGUAGCCGACCUGAGAGGGUAAUCGGCCACAUUGGGACUGAGACACGGCCCAGACUCCUACGGGAGGCAGCAGUAGGGAAUCUUCCACAAUGGACGAAAGUCUGAUGGAGCAACGCCGCGUGAGUGAUGAAGGUUUUCGGAUCGUAAAACUCUGUUGUUAAAGAAGAACAAGUGUUAGAGUAACUGUUAACACUUUGACGGUAUUUAACCAGAAAGCCACGGCUAACUACGUGCCAGCAGCCGCGGUAAUACGUAGGUGGCAAGCGUUGUCCGGAUUUAUUGGGCGUAAAGCGAGCGCAGGCGGUUUUGUAAGUCUGCUGUGAAAGCCCUCAGCUCAACUGAGGAAGUGCAGUGGAAACUACAAAACUUGAGUACAGAAGAGGAAAGUGGAACUCCAUGUGUAGCGGUGAAAUGCGUAGAUAUAUGGAAGAACACCAGUGGCGAAGGCGGCUUUCUGGUCUGUUACUGACGCUGAGGCUCGAAAGCAUGGGUAGCGAACAGGAUUAGAUACCCUGGUAGUCCAUGCCGUAAACGAUGAAUACUAGGUGUUGGAGGGUUUCCGCCCUUCAGUGCCGCAGCUAACGCAUUAAGUAUUCCGCCUGGGGAGUACGACCGCAAGGUUGAAACUCAAAGGAAUUGACGGGGGCCCGCACAAGUGGUGGAGCAUGUGGUUUAAUUCGAUGCUACGCGAAGAACCUUACCAGCUCUUGACAUCUUCUGCCAACCCAAGAGAUUGGGCGUUCCCUUCGGGGACAGAAUGACAGGUGGUGCAUGGUUGUCGUCAGCUCGUGUCGUGAGAUGUUGGGUUAAGUCCCGCAACGAGCGCAACCCUUAUUAUUAGUUGCCAGCAUUUAGUUGGGCACUCUAGUGAGACUGCCGGUGAUAAACCGGAGGAAGGUGGGGACGACGUCAAAUCAUCAUGCCCCUUAUGAGCUGGGCUACACACGUGCUACAAUGGAUGGUACAACGAGUCGCGAAACCGCGAGGUCAAGCUAAUCUCUUAAAGCCAUUCUCAGUUCGGAUUGCAGGCUGCAACUCGCCUGCAUGAAGUGGAA